Molecule: ribosomal RNA, 374 nt
Filed under: Salmonella enterica subsp. enterica serovar Agona str. 400095 14
Lineage: Bacteria; Pseudomonadati; Pseudomonadota; Gammaproteobacteria; Enterobacterales; Enterobacteriaceae
Description: bacterial SSU rRNA
Rfam family: Bacterial small subunit ribosomal RNA
Source: RNAcentral
AAAUUGAAGAGUUUGAUCAUGGCUCAGAUUGAACGCUGGCGGCAGGCCUAACACAUGCAAGUCGAACGGUAACAGGAAGCAGCUUGCUGCUUCGCUGACGAGUGGCGGACGGGUGAGUAAUGUCUGGGAAACUGCCUGAUGGAGGGGGAUAACUACUGGAAACGGUGGCUAAUACCGCAUAACGUCGCAAGACCAAAGAGGGGGACCUUCGGGCCUCUUGCCAUCAGAUGUGCCCAGAUGGGAUUAGCUUGUUGGUGAGGUAACGGCUCACCAAGGCGACGAUCCCUAGCUGGUCUGAGAGGAUGACCAGCCACACUGGAACUGAGACACGGUCCAGACUCCUACGGGAGCAGCAGUGGGGAAUAUUGCACAAU